Neogale vison (American mink) is the source of this 359-nucleotide long non-coding RNA. RefSeq lists it as uncharacterized. NCBI's taxonomy places the organism in Eukaryota, Metazoa, Chordata, Mammalia, Carnivora, Mustelidae. The transcript has 4 exons. The record is from RefSeq and is a predicted model, not a curated record.
GCGGUCUGUGGGUUAUGUUCAUGGGGCGUUUGGGAUUGUCUGUCUGAGAAGACAGGCCAGGCCUUGAGGUGGCAUACACCACUUCUGCCCCAGUUCUGCGGCUUGAACUCAGGCCUGGGACCACGCCCACCCGGGUGGGAGGCAGGACAGUGGACUCCAGUUGUGUUCCCAGGAAGAAGAGGAAAGAAGCUGCUGCUGUUACAGUCGAAGGAAGGCUAAAGAAACACGACAACUAAACAUGAUGUAUUGUGGAUGGGAUUUGGGAACAGAAGGAGGACAUCAGGCAAAAGCCUAAGGAAAACUAAAUAAAGCAUGGACUUUGGUUAAUGAGCAAGUACACAAGCAGGGGGAGCUGCAAA